RNAcentral lists this ribosomal RNA (488 nucleotides) under uncultured bacterium. RNAcentral describes it as "partial 16S ribosomal RNA". It matches the Rfam family "Bacterial small subunit ribosomal RNA", at positions 30 to 507 of the family's 1533-position model. The record is from RNAcentral.
UGACCGCUGGCGGCAGGCCUAACACAUGCAAGUCGACCGGUAACAGGAAGCAGCUUGCUGCUUCGCUGACGAGUGGCGGACGGGUGAGUAAUGUCUGGGAAGCUGCCUGAUGGAGGGGGAUAACUACUGGAAACGGUAGCUAAUACCGCAUAAUGUCGCAAGACCAAAGAGGGGGACCUUCGGGCCUCUUGCCAUCGGAUGUGCCCAGAUGGGAUUAGCUUGUUGGUGGGGUAACGGCUCACCAAGGCGACGAUCCCUAGCUGGUCUGAGAGGAUGACCAGCCACACUGGGACUGAGACACGGUCCAGACUCCUACGGGAGGCAGCAGUGGGGAAUAUUGCACAAUGGGCGCAAGCCUGAUGCAGCCAUGCCGCGUGUAUGAAGAAGGCCUUCGGGUUGUAAAGUACUUUCAGCGGGGAGGAAGGGAGUAAAGUUAAUACCUUUGCUCAUUGACGUUACCCGCAGAAGAAGCACCGGCUAACUCCGUG